UCAUCUGUCUCAGCUUGACAGUAAUUCCAGGGUCACACUCACCGUGGAAAGCUCUUUUUCUCUCAGUAGCUGUCAACAUGGAAUAAAGUGAUUAAAAGUGUUAAAAAUCAUAUAUAAUAAAUGGCGCCAAUAUAAAACUUAAUGCCCCUAAUAUUUCCUCAGAGUUGCUACCUUUUCAUUAAUUAAAGCAAGAAAUGUUCCACUUAGUUAAAAUAGCUACUUAGUAUCCUGCUCAUAAACACAUCUGCAGCCCAAGUUCACUGGUUCAGUGGGUUUAAAUUAGUUGGUAUCAAUGUUAUUGAUGAUACGAGGAUUCAGAGCGCAUGCUGAGGCUGUGAGGAGGGUGAUGCUCUGGGCUUCCGUAUUCUCCGCAGGCACGGACUCGGGGCUCUGCUGGGGUGUGCUGGCGAGCUGACCGCAGGGUCUUAUAACAAAAGCUACAAGGAGGACCACCACAGGCCACCUGAUGGAGACCCUGGCAUCACAGUGGAUCCUUUGCUGCAAUGAAUGGAAACUGAUCCUGCUGUGUGCCUGAGGGAGAACAACACUGUUAUUGAACAUCUAUCUUAUAUACGAGGCAAGGCAGAGCCCAGUGGUUAAAGGCACUGACUCCAGAGUCAGGCAGCUUUGGGUUUCAAUCUGGCUCUGCCACUCCCUACACAUCCUUGGGCACAGCACUUAAUCUCGCUGAGCUGCUGUCUUUAUCUGCAAAAUGGAGAUAGUAACAGCACCUGAGUCCUGAGGUUAUUGUGAGGAUGAAGUCCACCUGUCACUUAGCACAGCGCCAGGCACAUGCCAAAGAACAGGAGACUGAGCCCUGGAACGUGAAGAUUUUGCCCAAUAUCACACAGCCUGAAAAUGACGAUGAAACUCAAGCAUCCGCCUCCAGAGACUGUGUGAUGACUCUCGACUAUCCAUAGCCCUUCGAGGAGCUCGAUCACUUGUGGGCACACAGCAGGGACCUAAUCAAGAGACACUAGCCCUAACCUUUCUCUGAAGGCAAACCCUCUCCUCAGUGCCCCUGCACACUGAUCCUCUUCCCACAUCUAGGUCUUUGCGAAGAAGGGGCUCCCUGCCUGAAAUACCUUUCCUGUUUCUCUCCUCACCACAAUACCCUCCAUGUUUAUCAAGGCCAGAGGGAAGAUCUACUUCCUCCAGGAAGCCGACAGGGAUCACAACGGGACAAAUGGGUUAAUCUUAAACUCCAAAUAUUCUAUCUGUAGUGAAAGUAUGUUUUUUGUUUUAUUGCCUGCCUAUGUCAUUAAUCACUCCUUCUGGAAAUAACCUCCAAUUUUCUUCUGAGGGAGCCAGCACAUCCAAAUUAUCAGUCCAGGUGAUUUAUCUGAAGCUCAACUCCAACCCCAGGCUCCAAGAAUGAGAUACCACCCAACCUGGGCCAACUACCGUACCUCAGGAUGUUCGUUAAACCUAUGUUGGGAAAUAGACACAAUUUUUAUUCUGGGGUGGACAAGCUGGUAGGGUGUAGACCCUGGAGAUGCCUGUGCCCAUCUUUUCCCUUACUGAGGAGAGACUGGUUAAGAAUCAAGAAUAAAACAAAAGGAGAUAUAUACCCAAUGGCAUUAUUUGAACUCCUUGAUCCAGCCAUAUCUGAAUCAGUUAAGUGUUCUAAUACAUGUAUUCUUUUCUCCUGAAGCCAUUUUGAGUUGAGUUUCUACCACUUGCAACUAAAAGACUCUUAAUGCACACACAUUCUUCAACAUUUUAGCCCUGCAGACUCACCCUUUCGUAAUUUUCUAUUACAAAGAAUGUAUUCUAUUACCCCAGAGAUCUUAUAGGCUCCUUAAGGACAGCAGCAGAUUCCUUUUCUAAGGGACCAAGAACUUAUAAGAGAGUUCAG
This 1858-nucleotide long non-coding RNA is filed under the name Equus caballus (horse). Its description in RNAcentral is "lncRNA (ENSECAG00000057317.1)". Lineage: Eukaryota; Metazoa; Chordata; Mammalia; Perissodactyla; Equidae. The record is from RNAcentral.